Molecule: ribosomal RNA, 119 nt
Filed under: Bison bison bison
Lineage: Eukaryota; Metazoa; Chordata; Mammalia; Artiodactyla; Bovidae
Source: RNAcentral
GUCUCUGCCCAUAUCAGCCUGAAGGCACCCCAUCUCCUCUGAUCUCGGAAGCUAAGCAGGGUCGGGUCUGGUUAGUACUUGGAUGGGAGACCACCUGGGAAUACCGGGCGCUGGAGGCU